UUAUCUCUGUAAAGGCCUUAGUUCUCCAUAUUUAUGAGUUUUUCCUUUUGGACAGUAAGGGAACGCAAAAAAAGAAAAGAAAGAAAAACGACUCCAGCUCUUCCUUGGUGACACAAUCUUGAUUUAGUGCUUUGAGGUUUUGGGCUUGGUCUGGGUGGCUCUGUGAUUUUUGAAUUAGGCUUGGCGGCUUUAACACUUUUGGAAUUUAGCCUUGGAAGCUUGGAGAAUUUUAGUCAUGGCACCUGGUCGUCGCACCACUCGAUCUACUGCUCAAAGUCAACAAGUUGAACCAGUCAUUGAUCCUCCUGCUCCACAUUCACAAGUUGUUCGCACUACUCGGUCGAGUAUAGAGAAUCAACAAGUUGAACCAGUCAUUGAUCCUCCUGCUCCACCUACACAAGUUAUUCGCACUACUCAGUUGAGUUUAGAGAAUCAACAAGUUUGUCGCACCACUCGAUCUACGGUACUAAGUCAACGACCUAGAACCACCGCACAAUCUAAUGUAGAGAGAGAACACCCUCAAGGCUCCACACACCCUACUGUACAGGGUGAAUAAGUCAAUGUGAUGACCCAUUU
Long non-coding RNA from Humulus lupulus (European hop), 576 nucleotides. RefSeq lists it as uncharacterized. The record is from RefSeq and is a predicted model, not a curated record. The transcript has 3 exons. Lineage: Eukaryota; Viridiplantae; Streptophyta; Magnoliopsida; Rosales; Cannabaceae.